Molecule: unclassified non-coding RNA, 1018 nt
Filed under: Caenorhabditis elegans
Lineage: Eukaryota; Metazoa; Nematoda; Chromadorea; Rhabditida; Rhabditidae
Description: Non-coding transcript of protein-coding gene dhs-8
Source: RNAcentral
AUGUCUCUCUCGACUACAAACACUGUCUCACCAGAAGAUGACAUUAACAGGUGCGAGGAGACCAUCAGGAAAGGGAUGACGAUGGGAAGGAGUAUAAAAGGAUCGGGUUCUAAAAGGCAUUGACGUCUCAGGAAAAACAUUUGCAAUCACAGGAACAACAUCUGGAAUUGGAAUAAACACAGCCGAAGUUCUGGCCUUAGCAGGAGCACAUGUCGUUUUGAUGAACAGGAACCUGCACGAGUCGGAAAAUCAGAAGAAGAGAAUUUUGGAGAAGAAGCCGAGUGCGAAAGUCGAUAUUAUUUUCUGUGACCUCAGUGACUUGAAGACAGUACGCAAAGCGGGAGAGGAUUAUUUGGCUAAAAAUUGGCCAAUCCACGGACUAAUCCUGAAUGCCGGAGUAUUCCGCCCAGCAGCUGCAAAAACCAAAGAUGGAUUCGAAUCCCAUUAUGGUGUCAAUGUAGUUGCUCAUUUUACACUUCUUCGCAUCCUUCUCCCGGUUGUUCGUCGCUCCGCUCCAUCCAGAGUAGUCUUCCUCUCCUCAACUUUGAGUUCCAAACACGGUUUCAAAAAAUCUAUGGGGAUUUCUGAAAAGAUGAGUAUUCUCCAAGGAGAAGAUUCGUCGGCGUCCACACUUCAGAUGUACGGAGCUUCAAAGAUGGCAGAUAUGUUGAUUGCAUUCAAAUUGCACAGAGAUGAGUAUAAAAAUGGAAUUAGCACAUAUUCCGUGCACCCUGGAAGUGGAGUCAGAACUGAUAUUUUCAGAAACUCCCUACUUGGAAAAUUCAUCGGAUUCGUCACCACACCAUUCACAAAGAACGCUAGUCAAGGAGCAGCAACUACAGUAUACUGUGCUACUCACCCAGAAGUUGAAAAAAUCUCUGGAAAAUAUUGGGAGUCUUGCUGGGAUAACGAUAAAAUUGAUAAGAAGACAGCUAGAGAUGAGGAGUUACAGGAAGCGUUGUGGAAGAAAUUGGAGCAAAUUGAUGAUCGAAUCAAUGGAUCAAUUGAUACCUUCUGA